UCGAGAAUCUUCGGCAAUGGACGCAAGUCUGACCGAGCGACGCCGCGUGGUGGAUGAAGGCUUUCGAGUUGUAAACACCUGUUGAGGGGGAGGAAUUUUGACCGAACCCUUGAGGAAGCACGGGCUAAGUUCGUGCCAGCAGCCGCGGUAAUACGAACUGUGCGAACGUUAUUCGGAAUCACUGGGCUUAAAGAGCGCGUAGGCGGCGUCGUAAGUUGGAGGUGAAAGCCCACGGCUCAACCGUGGAAUUGCCCCCAAUACUGCGAUGCUUGAGGAAGGUAGGGGUUUGUGGAACUUCCGGUGGAGCGGUGAAAUGUGUUGAGAUCGGAAGGAACGCCGGCGGCGAAAGCGACAAACUGGAUCUUCUCUGACGCUGAGGCGCGAAAGCUAGGGGAGCGAACGGGAUUAGAUACCCCCGUAGUCC
This 424-nucleotide ribosomal RNA is filed under the name uncultured prokaryote. RNAcentral's name for it is "bacterial SSU rRNA". It matches the Rfam family "Bacterial small subunit ribosomal RNA", at positions 355 to 796 of the family's 1533-position model. The record is from RNAcentral.